Molecule: transfer RNA, 90 nt
Filed under: Acidobacteria bacterium RIFCSPLOWO2_12_FULL_59_11
Lineage: Bacteria; Pseudomonadati; Acidobacteriota
Also listed under: 1 other name
Description: tRNA-Leu
Rfam family: tRNA
About the family: Transfer RNA (tRNA) molecules are approximately 80 nucleotides in length. Their secondary structure includes four short double-helical elements and three loops (D, anti-codon, and T loops).
Source: RNAcentral
GCCAGGGUGGUGAAAUUGGUAUACACAGCGGGCUUAAAACCCGCCGCCGCUAAUCACGGCAUGCCGGUUCGAUUCCGGUCCCUGGCACCA